RNAcentral lists this unclassified non-coding RNA (336 nucleotides) under soil metagenome. RNAcentral's name for it is "partial contains 5.8S ribosomal RNA, internal transcribed spacer 2, and large subunit ribosomal RNA". The stretch from base 1 to 120 matches the Rfam family "5.8S ribosomal RNA", at positions 35 to 154 of the family's 154-position model. The record is from RNAcentral.
GAUGAAGAACGUAGCGAAAUGCGAUACGUAAUGUGAAUUGCAGAAUUCAGUGAAUCAUCGAAUCUUUGAACGCACAUUGCGCCCCUUGGUAUUCCAUGGGGCAUGCCUGUUCGAGCGUCAUUUGUACCUUCAAGCUUUGCUUGGUGUUGGGUGUUUGUCUCGCCUUUGCGUGUAGACUCGCCUUAAAAUAAUUGGCAGCCGGCGUAUUGAUUUCGGAGCGCAGUAUAUCUCGCGCUUUGCACUCAUAACGACAGCGUCCAAAAGUACAUUUUACACUCUUGACCUCGGAUCAGGUAGGGAUACCCGCUGAACUUAAGCAUAUCAAUAAGCGGAGGA